RNAcentral lists this ribosomal RNA (253 nucleotides) under uncultured bacterium. RNAcentral's name for it is "partial 16S ribosomal RNA". It matches the Rfam family "Bacterial small subunit ribosomal RNA", at positions 524 to 776 of the family's 1533-position model. The record is from RNAcentral.
UACGUAGGGUGCAAGCGUUAAUCGGAAUUACUGGGCGUAAAGCGUGCGCAGGCGGUUGUGUAAGACAGAUGUGAAAUCCCCGGGCUCAACCUGGGAACUGCAUUUGUGACUGCACGGCUCGAGUGCGGCAGAGGGGGAUGGAAUUCCGCGUGUAGCAGUGAAAUGCGUAGAUAUGCGGAGGAACACCGAUGGCGAAGGCGGCAUUCUGGACCGACAUUGACGCUGAGGAGCGAAAGCCAGGGGAGCAAACGGG